Molecule: ribosomal RNA, 253 nt
Filed under: uncultured bacterium
Lineage: Bacteria
Description: partial 16S ribosomal RNA
Rfam family: Bacterial small subunit ribosomal RNA
Source: RNAcentral
UACGAAGGUCCCAAGCGUUGUUCGGAAUCACUGGGCGUAAAGGGAGCGUAGGCGGCGAUGUAAGUCAGAUGUGAAAUUCCGGGGCUCAACCUCGGAACUGCAUCCGAUACUGCAUUGCUAGAGUAGUAGAGGGGCAUCUGGAAUUCACGGUGUAGCAGUGAAAUGCGUAGAGAUCGUGAGGAACACUAGUGGCGAAGGCGAGAUGCUGGAUACUUACUGACGCUGAGGCUCGAAGGCCAGGGUAGCGAAAGGG